UCAGAGAUUUAUUUCCAAUGUGUUCACUACAGUGCAUGGAGAAAAACAAAACAACACAUUUAAGAUGUCAAAUUAAGAUGAGGGAGAUUGGAUUUCUCUCAAGUUGGAUUCAGAUGAUGAAAAGGCUGGGAGUCGAGGCAAUUUUGAUUGGAAAUCAAGUGUAGCUUCUGCGGCAGGGUGGCAUCGAUGGUACAGCCAGAGGGAAACAAAGACAGUCUGACAAACAGGCCCAGAGCGCUUCAUCAGUGCACAACAUCUGCUUCUUCGGCAGGUCAGCUCCUCUGUAGGUUCCGCUCCUCCGUAGGUACCACUCCUCCGUAGGUACCACUCCUCCGUAGGUACCACUCCUCUGUAGGUACCACUCCUCUGUAGGUACCACUCCUCCGUAGGUACCACUCCUCUGUAGGUACCACUCCUCUGUAGGUCCUGCUCUUCUGUAGGUACCACUCCUCCGUAGGUCCAGCACCUCCGUAGGUCCCGCACCUCCGUAGGUCCCGCUCCUCUGUAGGUCCCGCUCCUCUGUAGGUACCACUCCUCCGUAGGUACCACUCCUCUGUAGGUACCACUCCUCUGUAGGUCCCGCUCCUCUGUAGGUACCUCUCCUCUGUAGAUACCACUCCUCUGUAGGUACCUCUCCUCUGUAGAUACCACUCCUCU
Long non-coding RNA from Oncorhynchus tshawytscha (Chinook salmon), 657 nucleotides. The record is from Ensembl. NCBI's taxonomy places the organism in Eukaryota, Metazoa, Chordata, Actinopteri, Salmoniformes, Salmonidae.